RNAcentral lists this ribosomal RNA (492 nucleotides) under uncultured bacterium. RNAcentral's name for it is "partial 16S ribosomal RNA". It matches the Rfam family "Bacterial small subunit ribosomal RNA", at positions 29 to 506 of the family's 1533-position model. The record is from RNAcentral.
AGUGAACGCUGGCGGUAGGCCUAACACAUGCAAGUCGAACGGCAGCACAGUAAGAGCUUGCUCUUACGGGUGGCGAGUGGCGGACAGGUGAGGCAUACAUCGGAAUCUACUUUUUCGUGGGGGAUAACGUAGGGAAACUUACGCUAAUACCGCAUACGACCUACGGGUGAAAGCAGGGGAUCUUCGGACCUUGCGCGAUUGAUUGAGCCGGGGUCGGAUUAGCUAGUUGGCGGGGUAAAGGCCCACCAAGGCGACGAUCCGUAGCCGGUCUGAGAGGAUGAACGGCCACACUGGGACUGAGACACGGUCCAGACUCCUACGGGAGGCAGCAGUGGGGAAUAUUCGGCAAUGGGCGAAAGUCUGACCGAGCCACGCCGCGUGAGUGAAGAAGGCCUUCGGGUUGUAAAGCCCUGUUAGUGGGGAAGAAAAGCCGUCUGGUGAACCGCCAGAAGUCUUAAGGGACCCAAAAAAUAAGGCCCGGGCUAACUCCGU